Molecule: ribosomal RNA, 253 nt
Filed under: uncultured bacterium
Lineage: Bacteria
Description: partial 16S ribosomal RNA
Rfam family: Bacterial small subunit ribosomal RNA
Source: RNAcentral
UACGGAGGGUGCAAGCGUUAUCCGGAUUCACUGGGUUUAAAGGGUGCGUAGGAGGGCAGGUAAGUCAGUGGUGAAAUCUUCGAGCUUAACUCGGAAACUGCCGUUGAUACUAUCUGUCUUGAAUACCGUGGAGGUGAGCGGAAUAUGUCAUGUAGCGGUGAAAUGCUUAGAUAUGACAUAGAACACUAAUUGCGAAGGCAGCUCGCUACACGAAUAUUGACUCUGAGGCACGAAAGCGUGGGGAUCAAACAGG